UACGUAGGGUGCAAGCGUUAAUCGGAAUUACUGGGCGUAAAGCGUGCGCAGGCGGUUUUGUAAGUCUGACGUGAAAUCCCCGGGCUCAACCUGGGAAUUGCGUUGGAGACUGCAAGGUUUGAAUCUGGCAGAGGGGGGUAGAAUUCCACGUGUAGCAGUGAAAUGCGUAGAGAUGUGGAGGAACACCGAUGGCGAAGGCAGCCCCCUGGGUCAAGAUUGACGCUCAUGCACGAAAGCGUGGGGAGCAAACAGG
RNAcentral lists this ribosomal RNA (253 nucleotides) under uncultured bacterium. Its description in RNAcentral is "partial 16S ribosomal RNA". It matches the Rfam family "Bacterial small subunit ribosomal RNA", at positions 524 to 776 of the family's 1533-position model. The record is from RNAcentral.